Long non-coding RNA from Mus musculus (house mouse), 1667 nucleotides. RefSeq annotates it as predicted gene, 33162. The record is from RefSeq and is a predicted model, not a curated record. The transcript is spliced from 5 exons. NCBI's taxonomy places the organism in Eukaryota, Metazoa, Chordata, Mammalia, Rodentia, Muridae.
AUGUGAGAAGGUGGGGUGGGGCAGGUAGGUGUGUGCCAUUGGGGACUUCCACGUGCCACAGGAGUGAGAGAGAGUGCCAGAGUAAAGAAGAGGCCUUAGCCUUUUCAGAAAAUCACCUAACCUUCUCCACCAUUAUAUUCACAUUCAAAAAGCCAGUUGGACAGCAGCUGCCCACGAUGACUUAUUUAUAGCACAAACUAUAAUUAUGCCCCUUCACACCCAACCCUCAGCCUCAUGGAACUUUAAGGCAAACAUCCCAGAAGGCUUGUGAGGUGCCUGCUGAUACUGUUUCCACAACAGAUGUCUCGCAGCUGUCUGUCAUCUGUGGCUCUCCAGGCUGUGGGGCACCGGAGCUGAUGGCAUAGGAUGCAGCCGGGCAGGCCCAGUGGAAUACCAACGUUCUGUCACCUUAUCCCUCUUAUGUACAGCCCAACAACAGGACAGCCUGGAGAGGCCGUCACUCUGCACGUUCCUGAGAACAUUAAGGACAUCCUAUGAUCUGAGCACCAGCGGCCUAUGGAGAGUGCACAACCCUGAAUCCCCAGCAGGCCUCACAGGCUGCAUCCAACUAACCCAACAAUGGCCAGCUGUGGAUGGACAGUCCAAGAAUCCAGUACCUGCUGAGUCCCUCAGGGCUGGCUGGGUGUCUCAGCUGCUCUUCGGUAUAAACUGGAAUCCUGAAGAAGUAGGCGCCAAUGGAUGUGCUGGCAAAGUGAAUUCAAGCAGCUUCACAAUGAUGUGGAAGUGACCCACUCGGGAGAAACCACUUUGGAAUUUCUGACCUUUUGAUCUUUUGCUGUGUGACUGGCCAACACCACCGUAGUCUGCAAUAGUGGGCAGAAACAGUACACCAGAGUUGCCAGUUAGUCCCAGUAUCACAAGUAAGACCACAGUGCUGCGAGUCGCUCACCCAGAGCCGGGAAGGUGUCAACCUCACAAACAGGCUGUAGAACCAGAAUAUGAUGUUUGUUUGCCUGGAUGACUACGGAGGUCACAUCCACUUGAUUGCUGAGCUCAGUUGCUGAACACUGAGGGGCUGAGGUUGCACUCGACCGUUCAUGAUCAGCCCUCCACCCACAGUCCUGCUACCUGGAGAGUCACAGAGGUCCUAGUGUGGUCCUGAGCUGAGGGCAGCUGUGAGGAGCCAAGGAUACCCUAAGUAAUGUGUAUCAUGGACACAGGCUCAGCGAUGCCAAGGACACUCCGCCUCAGACCAGGCUAGUCUUCCUCUGGUUCAAGUGUGAGUGCAUACAACCCAUUGACCAGUGUGUGAAAACUAGGAGCAGCAGUUUCCUCCUCCAGAUGACUGCAGCCUCAGACUGGUCCCCCCCUCCCCCCGGAAAGACCUCCGACCAGGCCAGCUGACCUCUCUUCCUGUGCUGUACAUAAAUAAAAAAUAAAAAUAAAAGUAAGGCUCUGCGUUCUUGGGCCUGGUUAGUAUGCUCCAUCAGAUCGAACAUGGCCCAUCUGAUCCCAGCUUUUCUGUAUGUGUGUCUGUUCGUCCUUUAUUUCCUCACCACCCCCUCAGGUUUCCAAGACCAAGCUAGGCUGGGCACAGUGCAGGGCAUCAGAGCUUCCUUCAAGAGACCAGUCCACUUCGUCCCAUGGCUUUGGAACUGUGGAGAGAUAGAACAUGAGGAGCGUGUAUGGCAAGAGGCUGCACAGGA